GGUUAAGCGACUAAGCGUACACGGUGGAUGCCCUGGCAGUCAGAGGCGAUGAAGGGCGUGCUAAUCUGCGAUAAGCGCCGGUAAGGUGAUAUGAACCGUUAUAACCGGCGAUACCCGAAUGGGGAAACCCAGUGUGACUCGUCACACUAUCAUUAACUGAAUCCAUAGGUUAAUGAGGCGAACCGGGGGAACUGAAACAUCUAAGUACCCCGAGGAAAAGAAAUCAACCGAGAUUCCCCCAGUAGCGGCGAGCGAACGGGGAGGAGCCCAGAGCCUGAAUCAGCAUGUGUGUUAGUGGAAGCGUCUGGAAAGGCGCGCGAUACAGGGUGACAGCCCCGUACACAAAAGCGCAUGUGCUGUGAGCUCGAUGAGUAGGGCGGGACACGUGGUAUCCUGUCUGAAUAUGGGGGGACCAUCCUCCAAGGCUAAAUACUCCUGACUGACCGAUAGUGAACCAGUACCGUGAGGGAAAGGCGAAAAGAACCCCGGCGAGGGGAGUGAAAAAGAACCUGAAACCGUGUACGUACAAGCAGUGGGAGCACAGGUUUACCUGUGUGACUGCGUACCUUUUGUAUAAUGGGUCAGCGACUUAUAUUCUGUAGCAAGGUUAACCGAAUAGGGGAGCCGCAGGGAAACCGAGUCUUAAUUGGGCGUUAAGUUGCAGGGUAUAGACCCGAAACCCGGUGAUCUAGCCAUGGGCAGGUUGAAGGUUGGGUAACACUAACUGGAGGACCGAACCGACUAAUGUUGAAAAAUUAGCGGAUGACCUGUGGCUGGGGGUGAAAGGCCAAUCAAACCGGGAGAUAGCUGGUUCUCCCCGAAAGCUAUUUAGGUAGCGCCUCGUGAAUUCAUCUCCGGGGGUAGAGCACUGUUUCGGCUAGGGGGCCAUCCCGGCUUACCAACCCGAUGCAAACUGCGAAUACCGGAGAAUGUUAUCACGGGAGACACACGGCGGGUGCUAACGUCCGUCGUGAAGAGGGAAACAACCCAGACCGCCAGCUAAGGUCCCAAAGUCAUGGUUAAGUGGGAAACGAUGUGGGAAGGCCCAGACAGCCAGGAUGUUGGCUUAGAAGCAGCCAUCAUUUAAAGAAAGCGUAAUAGCUCACUGGUCGAGUCGGCCUGCGCGGAAGAUGUAACGGGGCUAAACCAUGCACCGAAGCUGCGGCAGCGACGCUGAUGCGUUGUUGGGUAGGGGAGCGUUCUGUAAGCCUGUGAAGGUGUGUCGUGAGGCAUGCUGGAGGUAUCAGAAGUGCGAAUGCUGACAUAAGUAACGAUAAAGCGGGUGAAAAGCCCGCUCGCCGGAAGACCAAGGGUUCCUGUCCAACGUUAAUCGGGGCAGGGUGAGUCGACCCCUAAGGCGAGGCCGAAAGGCGUAGUCGAUGGGAAACGGGUUAAUAUUCCCGUACUUGGUGUUACUGCGAAGGGGGGACGGAGAAGGCUAUGUUGGCCGGGCGACGGUUGUCCCGGUUUAAGCGUGUAGGUGUGUGUUCCAGGUAAAUCCGGUUCACUUUAACACUGAGGCGUGAUGACGAGGCACUACGGUGCUGAAGCAACAAAUGCCCUGCUUCCAGGAAAAGCCUCUAAGCAUCAGGUAACAUCAAAUCGUACCCCAAACCGACACAGGUGGUCAGGUAGAGAAUACCAAGGCGCUUGAGAGAACUCGGGUGAAGGAACUAGGCAAAAUGGUGCCGUAACUUCGGGAGAAGGCACGCUGACACGUAGGUGAAGUGAUUUACUCACGGAGCUGAAGUCAGUCGAAGAUACCAGCUGGCUGCAACUGUUUAUUAAAAACACAGCACUGUGCAAACACGAAAGUGGACGUAUACGGUGUGACGCCUGCCCGGUGCCGGAAGGUUAAUUGAUGGGGUCAGCGCAAGCGAAGCUCCUGAUCGAAGCCCCGGUAAACGGCGGCCGUAACUAUAACGGUCCUAAGGUAGCGAAAUUCCUUGUCGGGUAAGUUCCGACCUGCACGAAUGGCGUAAUGAUGGCCAGGCUGUCUCCACCCGAGACUCAGUGAAAUUGAACUCGCUGUGAAGAUGCAGUGUACCCGCGGCAAGACGGAAAGACCCCGUGAACCUUUACUAUAGCUUGACACUGAACAUUGAGCCUUGAUGUGUAGGAUAGGUGGGAGGCUUUGAAGUGUGGACGCCAGUCUGCAUGGAGCCGACCUUGAAAUACCACCCUUUAAUGUUUGAUGUUCUAACGUGGACCCGUAAUCCGGGUUGCGGACAGUGUCUGGUGGGUAGUUUGACUGGGGCGGUCUCCUCCUAAAGAGUAACGGAGGAGCACGAAGGUUGGCUAAUCCUGGUCGGACAUCAGGAGGUUAGUGCAAUGGCAUAAGCCAGCUUGACUGCGAGCGUGACGGCGCGAGCAGGUGCGAAAGCAGGUCAUAGUGAUCCGGUGGUUCUGAAUGGAAGGGCCAUCGCUCAACGGAUAAAAGGUACUCCGGGGAUAACAGGCUGAUACCGCCCAAGAGUUCAUAUCGACGGCGGUGUUUGGCACCUCGAUGUCGGCUCAUCACAUCCUGGGGCUGAAGUAGGUCCCAAGGGUAUGGCUGUUCGCCAUUUAAAGUGGUACGCGAGCUGGGUUUAGAACGUCGUGAGACAGUUCGGUCCCUAUCUGCCGUGGGCGCUGGAGAACUGAGGGGGGCUGCUCCUAGUACGAGAGGACCGGAGUGGACGCAUCACUGGUGUUCGGGUUGUCAUGCCAAUGGCACUGCCCGGUAGCUAAAUGCGGAAGAGAUAAGUGCUGAAAGCAUCUAAGCACGAAACUUGCCCCGAGAUGAGUUCUCCCUGAGACUUUAAGUCUCCUGAAGGAACGUUGAAGACGACGACGUUGAUAGGCCGGGUGUGUAAGCGCAGCGAUGCGUUGAGCUAACCGGUACUAAUGAACCGUGAGGCUUAACCUU
Molecule: ribosomal RNA, 2908 nt
Filed under: Salmonella enterica
Lineage: Bacteria; Pseudomonadati; Pseudomonadota; Gammaproteobacteria; Enterobacterales; Enterobacteriaceae
Also listed under: 1 other name
Description: 23S ribosomal RNA
Rfam family: Bacterial large subunit ribosomal RNA
Source: RNAcentral